This 497-nucleotide ribosomal RNA is filed under the name uncultured bacterium. Its description in RNAcentral is "partial 16S ribosomal RNA". It matches the Rfam family "Bacterial small subunit ribosomal RNA", at positions 28 to 507 of the family's 1533-position model. The record is from RNAcentral.
GAUGAACGCUGGCGGCGUGCCUAACACAUGCAAGUCGAGCGGAAAGACGAGGAUCUUGGUGUUCUGACGUUAGGGACGGACGGGUGAGUAAUGCGUGGAUAACCUACCUAUAAGAGUGGGGUAAGGUCGGGAAACUGGAGCUCAGACCGGGUGAUAUAUUGAACGGGAUGGUUGAAUAGUGAAAGACGGGUAUGCUGACACUUAUAGCUGGCUGCGCGCUGGAGUAGCUAGUUGGUACGGUAACGGCUUACGAAGGCGAUCAUGAGUAGCCGAGCUGAGAGGGUGAACGGCCCCUCUGGAGCUGAGCGGCGGUCCAGAGUCCGACGGGAGGCCGCAGUAGGGAAUGUUCCGCGAUGGGCGAAAGCUUGCCGAAGCAGCGCAGGGUGAAUGAUGAAGGGCUGCGGAUCGUAAGACUCUGUUAUUAGGGUAGACCACUUGUGUAAGGGACGAUGCACGUCUUGACGGUACCUAGACAGAAAGCCACGGCUAACUACGUG